AGGUGUGAGAGCUGAUCAGAGCCCAGGAAAAGACUGCAGUGAGUCAGCCUGAAGGACUCACACAGAGACUGGAGCAGGCAGCUGAGCUGAGGAAGAAACACUGAACUGGAGCACCUUUCACACACAGAGGAUCACAUUCCUCCAGAUAUGGCCGUCUCUAUACGCCCCUCCUGAAACUCCAGACCAAUCCAGUGUCCCUGUGGGUCAGACCUAUCGGUCUGAACUAACAGAGAGACAGGAAGACAUCCUGAAAGAGAAUUGGCUUCAGAUUUUAAGAGCAGAUUUCUGUCAGCUCACAUUGGAUCCAAACACAGAAUUCUACAAUCUCCACCUGACUGAAAGAGACCAGGAAGUGACAAUGAAGGAGCCCAAACCGUGGAUCAACCACACAGAGAGGUUUCACAGUAUCCAGAUGCUGUGUAGAGAGGCUGCUGUUACUGGGAGGUAGAGUGGAGCGGGAAGAGGCCCUACAUACCAGUCUU
This is a long non-coding RNA of Oncorhynchus tshawytscha (Chinook salmon), 482 nucleotides long. The record is from Ensembl. NCBI's taxonomy places the organism in Eukaryota, Metazoa, Chordata, Actinopteri, Salmoniformes, Salmonidae.